UAUUUAUUUAUUUAUUUUGAGAUAGAGUGGUCUGAAAAUACUGAAAUAAAAUGUCUUGAAUACUCAGACUCAAAACAUAGGGUCUGUGGGGGAAAAUCGCCCAAUUUGGGAAAGAAUAAUUUUCAAAUCCUUCUAUAAAUUAUUUCAGACAAGAAAAGCAUUUCCUGCACCUCCUCACUCUUAACAGCUAUGCCAUAAGGAUAUUGCUCCUUUGCCCCCACAGACUCCUCUGCCUUCGGGUGGCUUGGUGCCCUUCCCAACUGGACAAGACCUGAUCAUGCAUGUACCUAGAAAUGUAGCUCCUGGGUGACACAUGAAAUCCCACCCCACGUGCCCCCGAUUGUCCUCACAGGACGCUGAAUGUAUGUGAAGAAGAAAGUCCAGCAGAUACCAAAUCGCUGUGCUGCAUCACCUCCCAAAGGCACCUGCAAAUCCCACCCAGCAAUUACACAAACCUCCCUCCCAGCGCUAACAACUCCCAGGAGUGCAAAGUAGAUGAAAUUGGUAGGCUUGGGACUACCAGCAAAUACUGCUCCUUAUCUGGGGAAGGAGUUGGAGCUGUUUUGCUGCUCUCUGCAUUGCUGUUGGGGAGCCAGGCAGUUGGUUUGGGGGCUGCUCUCCUUGUCCUGAGAUCCAUGGGAAAGAAAACGCAGGGAGAACAGGAAAUGUAUGAAGAACUGGUGGAAAAAAGAGUCAGCUCUGGCUGGUUAUUUUUGACCGAGAGCUCUGAGCAUCUGCUGGCUUUAGUUUUGCUAACUGUACUUUUUAAUUUUGGCAAGGACACACGGAGCCCAGGAAAGGAAUGCUCUGAGUAUAUAAUUAUAAAUCAAAAUAUAAUGCAAUAAGUAAAAUGAGCACUGAAAAACACCACUCGCUAACUGUAUAUGCCAUCUACCUAAUAGUUCCAGGCCGUGAGUCACCACUUGAAUUAAAGAGGUACAGCGAGUCCGAGGGCCAGCUCCACACAGGUAGUCAGGCUCUACACCUGCCCUUGCUCCUACUGCUUGGUGAAGUCAACUGCUCCUAGAUCCUAACCCCCUGGGGCCCUGUGCUCAUAUAUGGGUGUCACACCUGGCUGCCCCGUCAUGCCAAGCUGUGCCUUCCAAUUUCCUGUGUUAUACAGGCACAGGGUUAAAUGCCUGAGAAAUGGGGUUAUGGGCUUGACUAGGCAUCAGCAAAAUAAGCAAAAGAAAUCCUGGUCUAGGUUAGGGCUAACCAACACUGUAAAAGGCAGCUGGAACUAUCAGGAGAUGGACACCUACACCAUGGCAGUCCUUUCCUACAGAAAAAAAAAAAAAAAAAAAGAAGGAAGAAAGAGGAGCCCUGAGGGCUGCAGCACGUUUGGGACCAGAAGAGCCAGCCCAAGCUCUAAUCCCUGCCCUGCCAGGCUGGGGCAAGCCUUGCAGCAAGAGAGAUGAUGACUUAUGUUGGGCUGCAGUUCUGGGGUGCGGGAGGCUGCAGGAGCAGGGUGGCUCUUCAGAAAAGGUGCCUGCAGCUGCAUUUUGGAAAUGUCCACUCGGUGCAUUAGUGAAUGAAAUGUGAGGGUGAGAGGAGCAAGAAUGCAGAUGGGAGAGAUUUCUACUGCUUGCCUUAACACCCUGAAUGCAAGAUUAAGUUUCCAUGAAGAUAAAGAGCAGGAAAGUGGUGUAAGGGUUUUUCACAUGCACAUAAGCACUGAUUAUCCCUGGUGUAACAAAGCACCCACCUACCUAGCUGUAACUCCCAGGCAAAGCCACAGACCAGGGCUAGACCUUCUCUCUGCAACCUGCACUUGUGCAACAGGAACUUAUAAAAAAGAGCACUGCAAAAUAAUUCAGGACUGCUUCGCUGUGAGCUGUCAGGGUCCUGUAGUAAUAACUCAUGGUGAUUUCAUAGCAGCUCCAAGCCAGGCGGUUUCCAUACUGCUGGCAAGGCCAUGUGUCCUUGCCUUUGGGCUGCUCUCCUCCCCACUGGAAUUCAGCCACCUCCGCACUGGGACACUCUGGGAUUUUAAUCCUGUAAAUGAGGGCACCAACCCUGACCUCAAGGCUUCCCUGGGAGUGAGGGACUUGCUGCAGCAUCCUUUGGUUUAGUUUCCAGAUGCUCAAGUAUUCCUGGGAGUUGUUAAUGCUUAAGAAAUGAGCUGGCUUUGGUCAUUAUUACUUAAGUGGAGUGGCUGGCAGAAGGUAGGUACCUGAAACCUUAAGCCAAAAGGUGGGAAUACCUCAUUCCUCUACCUGUGGUCUGUGGCAAAUGCACCGAUGGCACAGUCUCUUGCUGUUCUGACUGGCAAGAAAGAUAAAAGAAAGCCGUUUUGUGACACGUUUUCCUUUACAGACUUCCAGAGAAGCUCUAGGUCUUUUUGAAACAUUAGCAACAACUUGAGAAGGCUUCAAGUAUUUUCAUCCCCGUGAUAUUUGUUCCUUAAGUGCUUUACAUUUCUUAUUUUUGGUAAGGGCAAUAAUAACCAUUAAACCUCAUAAAUCUGGGAGCAAGUCUCCUACCCACCUUGUGUGUAGCUUAAACGAAGCAGAUUUGUUUACGGCAUAUUAAGGGCACUGGGAGGUUGGAACAUUUUUUGCCAGCUGCUCCUUGUGAUAUUUUGGCAGCUCUUGGGACGUCAUUGUCAUUCCCAACAUAUCUCAAGAUGGCUCUCAGAAGACCAAGGAAAGGCAGCCAAGCACAUCUGCACACUCCUGUGAGGCUCAGAGGGCCUUGCACACCCCUUUGUGUCUGCUAAAGGAAACAUGGCUUUGCUGUGCCUUGGGGCAUGGAAGGUCUCCAGGUCACAAAGCUCCUCUCCCUGAAUGCAAGCUGCAAAGCCAGGGAGAAAUAGUACUUUUCUGUUUUUUCUUUUUCUUUUCCUUCUUCUUCUUUAACAUUUAAUCAUCCUAAAGUCUCUUAUUGGAAGCUUGUGAAUUUCUAGGAAAUGGUGUUAACUGAGAUGCUGGAAAUACAGCUCUUUGCUUCCAGGCUGAGCACGCAUGCGGGCUCUGGAAGGUCUCACUGCACACCUGGUUCAUGCUGAUUGCCCUCUAGUUACUGCAUCUGGCAAAAUUAUACCCUGUGCCUGUGAUCUUUUUAUUUACAUACAUUUUCUUUUGCAGGAAGUUAACUUCUAACCCUGGUGAUUGCUCCUUCAUCUGAUAGACCUUUCUGCUUUUCCUAAGACCUUCACCACAUCCAGGAUUUCAUUUGGCUGCUCCCUGUCUUGCACAUUAAAUUCACUUCUGAUUUGAUUCUGCAAAAAUAAUGCCAAAAUGUUUUAAAAGUUUGAUAAUGUAUUUUCUUUCCCGACUGACAAUGCCUCACAGAAAUGUGGCACAUUCACCUGCAGACUUUGGCAGUACACCGUGUGUUGUGUCCUGUGAAAAGCCUCACCCUGAUAAAGCACCAAGGAGUUAGAAUUGACCAAGAUACCGCUGACGAUCAUUUGGAUGUAUUAUCUGCUCUUGACGCUUUCACACUUGAUUACAGGCAAAAGGGCCCCUGGCAGGGCCACCAGGACAACCUGAGUUAUCUCCCACUUCACCCAGGCGGCUGGAAGUGGACAGGACUGAAAGACUUGAGUGUGGCCAUAGACUGAGCUUAUCUCUCUGGCAAUUUGGGCUGAUGAAACAAUCAGUUCCACCACUUUACAGAACAAGCUCUUAAAGCCCUGUCGUUAUUAAAGGUUAAAAAAAGCUGUAGUCUCUCAGGUAGCUUUUACCAAAGCCAAGUAGAGCACAAAUUAGUAUAAAUUGGCACCUCAACACAAGUGUGUAAUUUGCAUUUAGACUACUAAGAGUCAAAUGCAAAUCUUACUUUGCCAGACACAAUGCUACGAAGCUGACUGGUUCGGUGUGUACCGGAGCACUGCUGAGUCAGGAAGGCAGAAGUGGGAUGGGUAUGAAAUGAGAAAGGGUCCAGAGAGGGGUGCAAGUGGAUGACGGCAUGCCCGAGGGAGAGAAAGUCACAGCCAAGAGGAAAAAUAGCACUUGCUGCUAAAGCACAGGAAGGAGAAUCAGGCAUUCUGGGUCUUUUUCCAAAUUAUGGCAUUUUGGAUUUGUUCUGUGACCUUGGGUAAAUAAUUUAUUCUCUUUGUGCACAGUUUCCCCAUCUGUAAAAUAAGGUUAAUAGCUGCUGCUCAAAUAGGUUGGCUUUUCUUGGCUUGGGCAAAGGAAUGAGUCAGGGCAGACUUUGGCACACAGCAAGCCUGUGACGUGCUAAGAGACCACAGAAGUGAGAAGAGCAGAUAGUUAUUGCCUCUUUUACCUGAAGUAGCUGCAAGCCCCCGCUGGACCAGAAGGGCUGCAGCCAGGAGCUGCCAGGGGGCUCCAGGUCGCACCGGAGUGCACUUGGACCAGCCUCUGCUGUGGCUUUUGCAUUUUUCUUUACUAGAGAAGCAACAUAGAAUGAAGCAAAGUGGCCUCUGACAGCUUUAGAAGCACCAUGAGAGGAAUAGCUAUUUCUCGCAUUGUGCUGCAGCUUCCUCUACCUUCAUUUCCACCCUUCAUCUUGAAACCCAUACUGCUAUUUUUGAAAGUGAAGAUUAAUGCAAUAUUGUACUUCUCUGAUUUUUUAUUUUUUUUUCAGCCAACUAUAGGGCACAGUAGAUGUAUUCUCCUUGGAAACUUGUUAGCUGGCUGCGAGCGAUGUGAAAACACAUCAAAUGCAGCAGCUUGGGUCUGUCCGUACUCUCAGUCCCUUUUCUGCUGAAGCUGCCAUACAACACACCUCCCCAGUAUGGGCAACACAACUCCUUAUAGAACUUUCUUUGUGUUUUAGAGCCUUGCAAAACUGGUGGCUUAAAUGGAUUUGUAGGUUUAAUGAAUAACCAUCCACACCACAGCCCAGAGCAUCUACUCAUCUCGGUAACGUGUGAAUCACGCAGUGAGAUGUGGAAUAUUCAUAUCAAAUCCAAUGACUUGAUUAACACCGUGGUUGAUGAAGCUGAUAGUAUGGUUUGAUCAAAUCACUGAAUUUCUGUGAAUACUCAACAUUUGCACCAACAUACCCUAGAAGAGAAUUUAAUCUAAAAAUUAUGAGAAACCCUUUUAUGACAAGCUAUAAAUGCUCACAUUCUGUGUAACUUUAUAUUCCCUUCUUGGUUUCUAUAAUAUUGGUAAAGUACAGAGUCUCUUCGAGGUAGGUCCCAGUAGAACAUCAACUACAAAUUAGUUUUACUACGCACCCAACUAUUUCUUAGUGGUUUUAAAAUGCAGCGCCCAACUCAUUCAUACUAUAUUAGUGCUGGCCUGAAUCCCUGUGAAACUGCUUAUUUUAAUUUCAGUGCACAAUCAAAAGAAAAUUCAAGAGUUGCACAAUUCAGGAAAAUGCAGCAAGGUGCCAACCUCCAGCGUGCUCCGUUCCACCAGCAGAAGCAGAACCGCACGCGAGGCAGCUGGGCUGGCUGGGGGCCAGCGGCAGCAGGGACCUGGCUCCGGUGGCACGGCGCAGCAUUGCUCCCUGCUCUGUUUGCUCAGACAAUAAAAUAACUGCUCUGUUCCCCCGCAGGGCACAGUUUUAUGCACUGCUAAGGUGAACAAUAAACCAGCCUGGACAGCAGAUCGGUUCUCCUGGCCAUAUAACAAUGAACAGCAUCCAUAUAUUUUUAGUGAAUUGCCUGGAUUUCUCUAUCUUUUAUAAAAAAGAAGUGAUGUGCACAUAUAAGGCAGCUCACAUUUUAGGAGUUUCCUAUUAUAGAUGUCAUUCCCAAUGGUUAAUAACUCAUCCGAGUAUGACUUGAGUAGCCCACAUCAUCAAUAUUAAAUGUGACAUUUACUAUCAAGAACAAAGUUUUGGGGCUGCUGCCAGCCCCACUCAUAGAGCUGUAAAUAUUUUGAUCAUUGAACAGGAAGAAAGAGGAGAUGAUCAGCCUGUGCUCACGCCUGAUCCAGUGGGGAGUAAACGGGUGUUUGCACAGAGCCCCGAGUGGCUCAGCACCUGCAGCCUUGGCAGGAGCAUCCCAGCAGUGAGUGGAGCUCCUGUGCCCCCCUGCCCAGGCUGGUACCUGUGCUACGGAGACUGGGCUGCUGCUGAGGCUGCAAAGGGGUGCACAGGGGGAGAGGAAGAAACCCCUCCAGGGUUUUAACAGCACUGCAAUUGGGAACACAAAUGUUCACGUAAACUGAACACUGCACAGACUGGGAACUGAGGAACCCUGCUGCCCUGGGGAAGACCUCCUGGCCCCACAGCCACCACUUUCCAACAGGUCCCACGAAUGGGAUCAGUAGCACAUCACCUUUCCUACUGGAAACCAGCAGGUAGGACAUCUGGCAAGUAAUUCAUGCAAUAAUUUCACCCUUUUGUAAUAUUUUGCAGCUAUAGUUUGCUCAUGGCUGUAUUCAGCCUGGAGCUCCAGUUGCCCAGGAUGCCUAAAAAUCAAUUAAAUCACAUGUAUCCAUUUCUGCCCAUAAACAUUUUGGUGCCUACAUGUUUACUACACAUUGCUGUUGCUAUAGCUACUUCAUGGUUGGAUUUGUUUGUUGCAGGGCCAUCACUGCUGAAUGUUACACACAGGUACAGACCCAAGAAACUGCUGUAGUUUGAAAUGCCUUAUCACUCUGCCGCUAUACUUGGCACACAGCUAAGACACCGCAGAGCUUACAAGAAGAAAAACCCUUGGGAGGGUCCCCCACGUUAGAGUUUCUUCCUUGCAUUUCACCCUUCCCAACUGAAAAGGCAGCAAGGGAGGCUGAGCCUUCGCUCCAGCUGGGAGGUGGGGAUGACAGGAGCAGUGCUGCUGAAUAAUGGACUCUUCAGCUCAAUGAAUGUACUGAAAAACAGAACUUUGGCUUGACCCAAAAUAUUUCGCUUUGCCUAAAGAAAAAAUUUUGUUUUGUUCUGGAUUACUGAAAUUAGGCUUUUAUUAUUGUUGUUGUUGUUGUUGUUACUGUUGUUACUAUUGUUACUAUUGUUGCUAUUAUUAUUAUUUAUUUUCUUAACAAGAAAAGUUACCUUAGUACUAUUUCAAAAAGAGGGAGGAACCAUUUCAUUCAGAAAAUAUCAGAAUGAACCACUUCCUUUCGCAACUGUCCAGAGAAAAUGUGUAGACACCCCUGAAUCACACAUCUCAUUGCUGCAACAUGAACAACUCCCUGUGGCUGCAAGCUGGGCAAUGCCCCCAGCUCCUCCUGAACUGGAGUAUUUUGGCAAAUACACAAUUUGCUAAAAAAUGUCACUCAGCUACAGCAGUAAGAGAACAUCAAACAAAUACCAGUGAAUUGUUACUUUGAUUUUUUAUUUUAUUUUUCUAGAGACUAUUCUAUUAAGGGGAGGGAUUUCUGGAAGAGCACCAAGCAUGUUUUCAUGACUCCGACCCUCUAACUAUAAAUGACAAGUAAGUAUGGAAGGUCUCAUUACUGUGGAAUGGCACUGUAUAAUACAGACUGCAAAUAGCAAACAGCCUCAUUACGCCCAUUAUCAUCUUUUAUCAUUGUUUAAUUGUGUGCAUCAAUUUUUAAUAAAGAAACUUCAUGUGCCUAUGAAUUAGACCAUACUGAGAGGGGCCUUUAUUGAUUGCAGAAACAUCACCAGGCUAGCUGGGUCAUCUGGAUUCAGAAGCUAGGUGGAGCAGAAGAAAGCAUCUUCGUUAUUCUGGGCUGCAUGAUGAACAGAAACACUUGUUAAACUUUACUCAGUGUCACUUAACGAUAUUAGCCCUCCUGGACCAGAGUGAUUUUACUGCUCCUCCAAAUAAUGACAAAUGGUGCAGCUGGACAGAGCUGAGCUAUUCACUCCAGUGAUAAUUGCUGCACAAUGAUAUUAAAGAAGCAUUCACCAAAAA
Molecule: non-coding RNA, 7747 nt
Organism: Anas platyrhynchos (mallard)
Lineage: Eukaryota; Metazoa; Chordata; Aves; Anseriformes; Anatidae
Source: RefSeq, a predicted model, not a curated record